GACCGAAUUGAAGUUGGAUGC
This 21-nucleotide unclassified non-coding RNA is filed under the name Dictyostelium discoideum. The record is from RNAcentral. Lineage: Eukaryota; Evosea; Eumycetozoa; Dictyosteliales; Dictyosteliaceae.